UGUUUUAAAAUAUCGUGUCAUGAUACCAUGAAAAGGCAACUAUUGCAUGGAGGAAAUAACGACCUCUAGCAGAAGAAUCAUAAAUGAUU
This is a long non-coding RNA of Thalassophryne amazonica, 89 nucleotides long. RefSeq lists it as uncharacterized. NCBI's taxonomy places the organism in Eukaryota, Metazoa, Chordata, Actinopteri, Batrachoidiformes, Batrachoididae. The record is from RefSeq and is a predicted model, not a curated record. The transcript has 4 exons.